GAUUAAGUUAUUAAGGGCGCACGGUGGAUGCCUUGGCACUAGAAGCCGACGAAGGACGUUACUAACGACGAUAUGCUUUGGGGAGCUGUAAGUAAGCUUUGAUCCAGAGAUUUCCGAAUGGGGAAACCCAGCACGAGUUAUGUCGUGUUAUCGAUAUGUGAAUACAUAGCAUAUCUGAAGGCAGACGCGGAGAACUGAAACAUCUUAGUACCCGCAGGAAGAGAAAGAAAAAUCGAUUCCCUGAGUAGCGGCGAGCGAAACGGGAAGAGCCCAAACCAACGAGCUUGCUUGUUGGGGUUGUAGGACACUCUAUACGGAGUUACAAAAGAACAGACUAGACGAAUCAUCUGGAAAGAUGAAUCAAAGAAGGUAAUAAUCCUGUAGUCGAAAGUUUGUUCACUCUUGAGUGGAUCCUGAGUACGACGGAACACGAGAAAUUCCGUCGGAAUCUGGGAGGACCAUCUCCCAAGGCUAAAUACUCUCUAGUGACCGAUAGUGAACCAGUACCGUGAGGGAAAGGUGAAAAGUACCCCGGAAGGGGAGUGAAAUAGAACUUGAAACCGUGUGCUUACAAGUAGUCAGAGCCCGUUAAUGGGUGAUGGCGUGCCUUUUGUAGAAUGAACCGGCGAGUUACGAUUUGAUGCAAGGUUAAGCAGUGAAUGUGGAGCCGUAGCGAAAGCGAGUCUGAAUAGGGCGUUGAGUAUUUGGUCGUAGACCCGAAACCAGGUGAUCUACCCAUGACCAGGUUGAAGUUCAGGUAACACUGAAUGGAGGACCGAACCGACUUACGUUGAAAAGUGAGCGGAUGAGUUGUGGGUAGCGGAGAAAUUCCAAUCGAACCUGGAGAUAGCUGGUUCUCUCCGAAAUAGCUUUAGGGCUAGCCUCAAGUGAUGAUUAUUGGAGGUAGAGCACUGUUUGGACGAGGGGCCCUUAUCGGGUUACCGAAUUCAGACAAACUCCGAAUGCCAAUCAAUUUAACUUGGGAGUCAGAACGCGGGUGAUAAGGUCCGUGUUCGAAAGGGAAACAGCCCAGACCACCAGCUAAGGUCCCAAAAUAUAUGUUAAGUGGAAAAGGAUGUGGCGUUGCCCAGACAACUAGGAUGUUGGCUUAGAAGCAGCCAUCAUUUAAAGAGUGCGUAAUAGCUCACUAGUCGAGUGACACUGCGCCGAAAAUGUACCGGGGCUAAACAUAUUACCGAAGCUGUGGAUUGUCCGUAAGGACAAUGGUAGGAGAGCGUUCUAAGGGCGUUGAAGCAUGAUCGCAAGGACAUGURGAGCGCUUAGAAGUGAGAAUGCCGGUGUGAGUAGCGAAAGACGGGUGAGAAUCCCGUCCACCGAUUGACUAAGGUUUCCAGAGGAAGGCUCGUCCGCUCUGGGUUAGUCGGGUCCUAAGCUGAGGCCGAUAGGCGUAGGCGAUGGAUAACAGGUUGAUAUUCCUGUACCACCAUUAUUCGUUUUAAGCGAUGGGGGGACGCAGUAGGAUAGGCGAAGCGUACGAUUGGAUUGUACGUCCAAGCAGUGAGAUUGAGUGUUAGGCAAAUCCGGCACUCUUAAGAUUGAGCUGUGAUGGGGAGAGGAAAUUGUUUCCUCGAGUCGUUGAUUUCACACUGCCAAGAAAAGCCUCUAGCUAGAAUUGUGGUGCCCGUACCGCAAACCGACACAGGUAGUCAAGAUGAGAAUUCUAAGGUGAGCGAGCGAACUCUCGUUAAGGAACUCGGCAAAAUGACCCCGUAACUUCGGGAGAAGGGGUGCUCUUUAGGGUUAACGCCCAGGAGAGCCGCAGUGAAUAGGCCCAAGCGACUGUUUAUCAAAAACACAGGUCUCUGCUAAACCGUAAGGUGAUGUAUAGGGGCUGACGCCUGCCCGGUGCUGGAAGGUUAAGAGGAGUGGUUAGCUUCUGCGAAGCUACGAAUCGAAGCCCCAGUAAACGGCGGCCGUAACUAUAACGGUCCUAAGGUAGCGAAAUUCCUUGUCGGGUAAGUUCCGACCCGCACGAAAGGCGUAACGAUUUGGGCACUGUCUCAACGAGAGACUCGGUGAAAUCAUAGUACCUGUGAAGAUGCAGGUUACCCGCGACAGGACGGAAAGACCCCGUGGAGCUUUACUGUAGUCUGAUAUUGAAAUUCGGCACAGCUUGUACAGGAUAGGUAGGAGCCUGAGAUACGUGAGCGCUAGCUUACGUGGAGGCGUUGGUGGGAUACUACCCUCGCUGUGUUGGAUUUCUAACCCGCACCAUUUAUCAUGGUGGGAGACAGUGUCAGAUGGGCAGUUUGACUGGGGCGGUCGCCUCCUAAAGAGUAACGGAGGCGCUCAAAGGUUUCCUCAGAAUGGUUGGAAAUCAUUCAUAGAGUGUAAAGGCAUAAGGAAGCUUGACUGCGAGACUUACAAGUCGAGCAGGGUCGAAAGACGGACUUAGUGAUCCGGUGGUUCCGCAUGGAAGGGCCAUCGCUCAACGGAUAAAAGCUACCCCGGGGAUAACAGGCUUAUCUCCCCCAAGAGUUCACAUCGACGGGGAG
Molecule: ribosomal RNA, 2516 nt
Filed under: Staphylococcus saprophyticus
Lineage: Bacteria; Bacillati; Bacillota; Bacilli; Caryophanales; Staphylococcaceae
Description: partial 23S ribosomal RNA
Rfam family: Bacterial large subunit ribosomal RNA
Source: RNAcentral